GACGAACGCUGGCGGCGUGCUUAACACAUGCAAGUCGAGCGGUAAGGCCCUUUCGGGGGUACACGAGCGGCGAACGGGUGAGUAACACGUGGGUGACCUGCCCUCAGCUCUGGGAUAAGCCCGGGAAACUGGGUCUAAUACCGGAUAUGACUCCAUGACGCAUGUUGUGGGGUGGAAAGCCUUGUGCGGCUGAGGAUGGGCCCGCGGCCUAUCAGCUUGUUGGUGGGGUGAUGGCCACCAAGGCGACGACGGGUAGCCGGCCUGAGAGGGCGACCGGCCACACUGGGACUGAGAUACGGUCCAGACUCCUACGGGAGGCAGCAGUGGGGAAUCUUGCGCAAUGGGCGAAAGCCUGACGCAGCGACGCCGCGUGAGGGAUGACGGCCUCGG
Molecule: ribosomal RNA, 390 nt
Filed under: uncultured bacterium
Lineage: Bacteria
Description: bacterial SSU rRNA
Rfam family: Bacterial small subunit ribosomal RNA
Source: RNAcentral